GAUGAAGAACGUAGUGAAAUGCGAUACGUAAUGUGAAUUGCAGAAUUCAGUGAAUCAUCGAGUCUUUGAACGCACAUUGCGCCCCCUGGUAUUCCGGGGGGCAUGCCUGUCCGAGCGUCAUUGCUGCCCUCAAGCACGGCUUGUGUGUUGGGCCUCCGUCCUCCUCCCGGGGGACGGGCCCGAAAGGCAGCGGCGUCACCGCGUCCGGUCCUCGAGCGUAUGGGGCUUCGUCACCCGCUCUUGUAGGCCCGGCCGGCGCUUGCCGACACAUCAAUCUUUUUUCCAGGUUGACCUCGGAUCAGGUAGGGAUACCCGCUGAACUUAAGCAUAUCAAUAAGCGGAGGA
Molecule: unclassified non-coding RNA, 345 nt
Filed under: soil metagenome
Description: partial contains 5.8S ribosomal RNA, internal transcribed spacer 2, and large subunit ribosomal RNA
Rfam family: 5.8S ribosomal RNA (bases 1-120)
Source: RNAcentral